UGAAGCUGCGACGAACAUUCAUGAACAAGUCUUUCAAUGCAUGACAAUUCCAGUUACUCCGAUGCCUUGGAAACAUGUAAAUCAACUUAUUUUUGACUCUGAGCCCUCACUCUACCAGGUCUGCCAACCCCACCAGGGCUGAGCCACCCCAGUGACUGAGGAUGGUCCCAGAGUCUGGGACCCACACAGCUGCUCCUCCCUGAGGUCCUUCUCCUGCCCAAGGCAUUAGAAGAAAAGUACUAAUUAGUACCUAAAACUGUUAUCCUGUCAUAUAUAUAAAGCACUUAGCACCCAGGCUCAUAGAAGACACUUGAUGAAUGUUGUUUCCUUUCCCCAAAGAGGAGGGAAGUUUGUCCUCCUCAACCCUGGCCACAUUCCCCACCCUAAAAACUGGGGUUUCGGGGUGAGAAGACCUUUCUGUUUAUUCCUGCUCACUGUUAUGAACCAUUUACUCAGCUUGGAACCCUAACCCAUUUUGACCAUCCUCUGUUGCAAAGGUAGAUCUCAGUGCUCAGCAAACAGGGGCAGUUGGAUGAAUGAAUGGAUGGUUUACUGUUGUAAAUUUUAUAGAUGUGGACGUGAACUCUUGAAGACAGUUGUGCCUCGUGGGGCCAUCUCGGCUCUAGAAGAAGGUUCUGCUACAGCCAGCUUCUCUAAAUUCCCACACAGUUCCCGCUGGGGGAGGCAGCGGGGCUCAGGAGACAGGCCACUGGGGCCUGCCUUGGACGCUUGGAUCCCUUGGAGAGCCA
Camelus dromedarius (Arabian camel) is the source of this 749-nucleotide long non-coding RNA. RefSeq lists it as uncharacterized. Lineage: Eukaryota; Metazoa; Chordata; Mammalia; Artiodactyla; Camelidae. The record is from RefSeq and is a predicted model, not a curated record. The transcript is spliced from 3 exons.